RNAcentral lists this ribosomal RNA (434 nucleotides) under uncultured bacterium. RNAcentral's name for it is "partial 16S ribosomal RNA". It matches the Rfam family "Bacterial small subunit ribosomal RNA", at positions 341 to 792 of the family's 1533-position model. The record is from RNAcentral.
ACGGGAGGCAGCAGUGGGGGAUAUUGCACAAUGGGGGAAACCCUGAUGCAGCGACGCCGCGUGAGUGAUGAAGUAUUUCGGUAUGUAAAGCUCUAUCAGCAGGGAAGAAAAUGACGGUACCUGACUAAGAAGCUCCGGCUAAAUACGUGCCAGCAGCCGCGGUAAUACGUAUGGAGCAAGCGUUAUCCGGAUUUACUGGGUGUAAAGGGAGCGUAGACGGUGACGCAAGUCUGAAGUGAAAGGUGUGGGCUCAACCCGCAAACUGCUUUGGAAACUGUGUGACUAGAGUGUAGGAGAGGUAAGUGGAAUUCCUAGUGUAGCGGUGAAAUGCGUAGAUAUUAGGAGGAACACCAGUGGCGAAGGCGGCUUACUGGACGAUAACUGACGUUGAGGCUCGAAAGCGUGGGGAGCAAACAGGAUUAGAUACCCUGGUA